Molecule: non-coding RNA, 21 nt
Filed under: Arabidopsis thaliana (thale cress)
Lineage: Eukaryota; Viridiplantae; Streptophyta; Magnoliopsida; Brassicales; Brassicaceae
Source: RNAcentral
UGCGGGAUGAACCGGAAGCCG